GAACAAUCUGUCCCGCCGUCUUUCUCUCUCUUCACAGUCUGCUGCUUUAUAUAUAUGCACAACAAAACGCAGAAAAUAACAGUAGCAGAGUAACAAUUCUAUAUUAGCUGUAGAAUUUACUUCAGUUCAGUGUUGACUGUAAAAAUGUCGUCGUCGGCGGUAAAAGGAUCGCAUGGCGCCGGCGGUCGGUGUAAACUGACGCCGCACCUGGAUAAGAGAGUAACCAAAAAGCUCAACCUCACGGUGCUGCAGAGAAUGGACCCAUUCAUCAUUCAUCAGCGAGAUUCUCAUGACCGUUUCUUUCGUCACCUUCUACUCGUUCGACGUCGAUGCCACCCAAUGGGUAUCCACAUUUUUUUCCCUUCUUCCUGUUAUUGUUACUACUAAUGCUGUGUUAAAGUCUUCAAGAACUCGCUUGACGGCGUGAUUUUGAAAAUCCGACUAUCUUUUUCCGAUUCAAUAGUCAUCUUUAUUUUUAUUUUAUUUAUUUUUUUCCAUUACGUUUGGGCGUUGGAAAACUUGAGUCGUGAAUAAAGUGAAUGGAGAUAUAAUCUGUGUUAGAAGUAUUUGGUCUGAGGAUUGUUGAAUUAGUUUCUAAUUUUUGGUGUUCAAAUUUGCUUGCAGAGCCGCAAGGAUGUUGAAG
RNAcentral lists this long non-coding RNA (643 nucleotides) under Olea europaea subsp. europaea. Lineage: Eukaryota; Viridiplantae; Streptophyta; Magnoliopsida; Lamiales; Oleaceae. The record is from RNAcentral.